Molecule: ribosomal RNA, 301 nt
Filed under: uncultured bacterium
Lineage: Bacteria
Description: partial 16S ribosomal RNA
Rfam family: Bacterial small subunit ribosomal RNA
Source: RNAcentral
CAGCCGCCGCGGUAACACGUAGGGUGCAAGCGUUAAUCGGAAUUACUGGGCGUAAAGCGUGCGCAGGCGGUUAUAUAAGACAGAUGUGAAAUCCCCGGGCUCAACCUGGGAACUGCAUUUGUGACUGUAUAGCUAGAGUACGGCAGAGGGGGAUGGAAUUCCGCGUGUAGCAGUGAAAUGCGUAGAUAUGCGGAGGAACACCGAUGGCGAAGGCAAUCCCCUGGGCCUGUACUGACGCUCAUGCACGAAAGCGUGGGGAGCAAACAGGAUUAGAUACCCCUGUAGUCCCUGUCUCUUAUAU